Molecule: small RNA, 74 nt
Filed under: Xanthomonas floridensis
Lineage: Bacteria; Pseudomonadati; Pseudomonadota; Gammaproteobacteria; Lysobacterales; Lysobacteraceae
Description: sX9 sRNA
Rfam family: Xanthomonas sRNA sX9
Source: RNAcentral
AUACCGCUCCUAUACUCAGGUUGUGAUCACACCGUCCACACCCACCUGACGGCUGCUCGCUGUGUCUGUUAGCC